RNAcentral lists this transfer RNA (67 nucleotides) under Pterostichus niger. RNAcentral's name for it is "tRNA-Ala". Lineage: Eukaryota; Metazoa; Arthropoda; Insecta; Coleoptera; Carabidae. The record is from RNAcentral.
AGGAUUAUAGUUUAAAUAAAACAUUUGAUUUGCAUUCAAAAAAUAUUAAUAUAAUUAUUUUAUCUUA